GCAUAUCAAUAAGCGGAGGAAAAGAAACUAACAAGGAUUCCCCUAGUAACGGCGAGUGAAGCGGGAAGAGCACAAAUUUUAAAUCUACCUGGUUUUCAGGUCGAGUUGUAAUUUGAAGAAACGUUUUUUACGUUCCGGGUUGGAUUAAAUCCUUUGGGAUAAGGUAUCAUGGAGGGUGAGAAUCCCGUGUAUACCAACCACUGGAAUGUUAUUAAUACGAUUUCUAAGAGUCGAGUUGUUUGGGAAUGCAGCUCUAAAUGGGUGGUAAAUUUCACCUAAUGCUAAAUAUAAGCGAGAGACCGAUAGUGAACAAGUACCGUGAGGGAAAGAUGAAAAGAACUUUGAAAAGAGAGUUAAAUAGUACGUGAAAUUGUUGAAAGGGAAACGGUUGAAGUCAGUCAUACCGGUGGGAAUCAACUUAGGGGAAACUCUAAGUGCACUUCUUCGCUUGGUAGGUUAGCGUCGAUUUUGGAUGUCAUAAAAUGACUGGGGGAAGGUAGCUCCUUUUAGGAGUGUUAAGCCCUUAGUAGAUGUGAUGUCUGAGAUCGAGGAUUGCAACGGAUACCUUUUAGGUUAACCGCCUGGUCUCUAAUACGAACUUAGGUUACGGACAGCAUGCUGACUGUGAUCUAAUCUUCGGUUAAAAGAUCAGAGUGAGUGUAAAUUCGUUAAGGACGCUGACGUAAUGGCUUUAAACGAC
Molecule: ribosomal RNA, 700 nt
Filed under: Cetraspora helvetica
Lineage: Eukaryota; Fungi; Glomeromycota; Glomeromycetes; Diversisporales; Gigasporaceae
Also listed under: 1 other name
Description: LSU rRNA
Rfam family: Eukaryotic large subunit ribosomal RNA
Source: RNAcentral